Molecule: ribosomal RNA, 497 nt
Filed under: uncultured bacterium
Lineage: Bacteria
Description: partial 16S ribosomal RNA
Rfam family: Bacterial small subunit ribosomal RNA
Source: RNAcentral
GACGAACGCUGGCGGCGUGCCUAAUACAUGCAAGUUGAGCGCUGAAGGUUGGUACUUGUACCAACUGGAUGAGCAGCGAACGGGUGAGUAACGCGUGGUGAAUCUGCCUUUGAGCGGGGGACAACAUUUGGAAACGAAUGCUAAUACCGCAUAAAAACUUUAAACACAAGUUUUAAGUUUGAAAGAUGCAAUUGCAUCACUCAAAGAUGAUCCCGCGUUGUAUUAGCUAGUUGGUGAGGUAAAGGCUCACCAAGGCGAUGAUACAUAGCCGACCUGAGAGGGUGAUCGGACACAUUGGGACUGAGACACGGCCCAAACUACUGCGGGAGGCAGCCGUAGGGAACUCUCGGCAGUGGAAGCAAGGCUGAACGAGGAACGCCGCGUGAGAGACGGAGGUUUUCAGAUCGUAAAACUCUGUUGGGAGAGAAGAUCGUUGGUGAGAGUGGAAAGCGAAUCAAGUGACGGUAACUACACAGAAAGGGACGGCUAACUACGUG